UACAGAGAGUGCAAGCGUUAAUCGGAAUUACUGGGCGUAAAGCGCGCGUAGGUGGAUAUCUAAGUCGGAUGUGAAAGCCCCGGGCUUAACCUGGGAAUUGCAUUCGAUACUGGGUAUCUAGAGUAUGGUAGAGGGAAGUGGAAUUUCCGGUGUAGCAGUGAAAUGCGUAGAUAUCGGAAAGAACACCAGUGGCGAAGGCGGCUUCCUGGACCAAUACUGACACUCAAGUGCGAAAGCGUGGGGAGCAAACAGG
This 253-nucleotide ribosomal RNA is filed under the name uncultured bacterium. RNAcentral describes it as "partial 16S ribosomal RNA". It matches the Rfam family "Bacterial small subunit ribosomal RNA", at positions 524 to 776 of the family's 1533-position model. The record is from RNAcentral.